RNAcentral lists this transfer RNA (70 nucleotides) under Gymnodraco acuticeps. RNAcentral's name for it is "tRNA-Ile". The record is from RNAcentral. RNAcentral also lists the same sequence under 1 other name. Lineage: Eukaryota; Metazoa; Chordata; Actinopteri; Perciformes; Bathydraconidae.
GGAGUUGUGCCUGAAACAAAGGGUCACUUUGAUAGAGUGAAUCAUGGGGGAUAAAACCCCUCCGCCUCCU